RNAcentral lists this ribosomal RNA (1166 nucleotides) under uncultured bacterium. Its description in RNAcentral is "bacterial SSU rRNA". It matches the Rfam family "Bacterial small subunit ribosomal RNA", at positions 237 to 1401 of the family's 1533-position model. The record is from RNAcentral.
CUGAUUAGGCAGUAGGCGGGGCAACGGCCCACCUAACCGACGAUCAGUAGGGGUUAUGAGAGGAAAGUCCCCCACAUUGGAACUGAGACACGGUCCAAACUCCUACGGGAGGCAGCAGUGAGGAAUAUUGGUCAAUGGGCGUAAGCCUGAACCAGCCAAGUAGCGUGCAGGAUGACGGCCCUAUGGGUUGUAAACUGCUUUUGUGCGGGGAUAAAGUACGUGACGUGUCAUGUAUUGCAGGUACCGCACGAAUAAGGACCGGCUAAUUCCGUGCCAGCAGCCGCGGUAAUACGGAAGGUCCGGGCGUUAUCCGGAUUUAUUGGGUUUAAAGGGAGCGCAGGCCGCCCCAUAAGCGUGUUGUGAAAUGUAGGCGCUCAACGUCUGACUUGCAGCGCGAACUGUGGGGCUUGAGUACGCACAACGUUGGCGGAAUUUGCCGUGUAGCGGUGAAAUGCUUAGAUAUGGCGAAGAACUCCGAUUGCGAAGGCAGCUGACGGGGGCGCAACUGACGCUCAUGCUCGAAAGUGCGGGUAUCGAACAGGAUUAGAUACCCUGGUAGUCCGCACGGUAAACGAUGAAUGCCCCGCUAUGCGUACGUUGGUAUGCGUGGCCAAGCGAAAGCGUUAAGCAUCCCGCCUGGGGGAGUACGCCGGCAACGGUGAAACUCAAAGGAAUUGUCGGGGGCCCGCACAAGCGGAGGAACAUGUGGUUUAAUUCGAUGAUACGCGAGGAACCUUACCCGGGCUUGAAUUGUGAGUGAACGACCAAGAGAUUGGAAGGCCCCUCGGGGCACUCAUGAAGGUGCUGCAUGGUUGUCGUCAGCUCGUGCCGUGAGGUGUCGGCUUAAGUGCCAUAACGAGCGCAACCCCUCUCUUCAGUUGCCAUCAGGCUAUGCUGGGCACUCUGGAGACACUGCCACCGUAAGGUGUGAGGAAGGUGGGGAUGACGUCAAAUCAGCACGGCCCUUACGUCCGGGGCUACACACGUGUUACAAUGGCCGGUACAGAGAGUUGCGUGCCCGUAAGGUUACGCCAAUCAUGAAAUCCGGUCUCAGUUCGGACUGGGGUCUGCAACCCGACCCCACGAAGCUGGAUUCGCUAGUAAUCGCGCAUCAGCCAUGGCGCGGUGAAUACGUUCACCGGGCCUUGCACUCACCGCCCGUCAAG